UGUGAAUGGUUCCAACUGCAAGGAAUUGGGAGGGCUAAGAAAUGUUGAUGGUUUCAUAGUUGGUAGAGCCUCUCUCAAGGUAAUUUGUAUAUGAAACCCGAAUUCACUGUUUCAUCAAGGCUGCUAAAGUGAAGACCAGUAUAUGAGUUUUAAAUCACCAGUCUUGCAAAAAUGCCAGAAAAGAAAAGAAAAGAACAACAUAAAUCUACACAUUAUAAGAAAUCUACAUAUCAGUGAACUUGGUGCUGUUAUUUGGUUUCAUUUAAAUUCAUGUUAAGGAGGGUUGGGCUCUUGUGUAUGACAAAUCUGGAUAAACCGAGGUUCUAG
Molecule: long non-coding RNA, 327 nt
Filed under: Helianthus annuus (common sunflower)
Lineage: Eukaryota; Viridiplantae; Streptophyta; Magnoliopsida; Asterales; Asteraceae
Description: hypothetical non coding rna
Source: RNAcentral